GUGAGAUGUUGGGUUAAGUCCCGUAACGAGCGCAACCCUUGUCCUUAGUUACCAGCACCUCGGGUGGGAACUCUAAGGGGACUGGCGGUGACAAACCGGAGGAAGGGGGGGAUGACGUCAAGUCAUCAUGGGCCUUACGGGCAGGGCUACACACGUGCUACAAUGGUCGGUACAAAGGGUUGCCAAACCGCGAGGGGGAGCUAAUCCCAUAAAACCGAUCGUAGUCCGGAUCGCAGUCUGCAACUCGACUGCGUGAAGUCGGAAUCGCUAGUAAUCGUGAAUCAGAAUGUCACGGUGAA
This 299-nucleotide ribosomal RNA is filed under the name Phytopseudomonas argentinensis. Its description in RNAcentral is "Pseudomonas argentinensis partial 16S ribosomal RNA". It matches the Rfam family "Bacterial small subunit ribosomal RNA", at positions 1067 to 1366 of the family's 1533-position model. The record is from RNAcentral. Lineage: Bacteria; Pseudomonadati; Pseudomonadota; Gammaproteobacteria; Pseudomonadales; Pseudomonadaceae.